ACGAACGCUGGCGGCAGGCCUAACACCUGCAAGUCGAGCGAGGACUUCGGUUCUAGCGGCGGACGGGUGAGUAACGCGUGGGAAUGUGCCCUUCUCUACGGAAUAGCCCUGGGAAACUGGGAGUAAUACCGUAUACGCCCUAUUGGGGAAAGAUUUAUCGGAGAAGGAUCAGCCCGCGUUGGAUUAGGUAGUUGGUGGGGUAAUGGCCUACCAAGCCGACGAUCCAUAGCUGGUUUGAGAGGAUGAUCAGCCACACUGGGACUGAGACACGGCCCAGACUCCUACGGGAGGCAGCAGUGGGGAAUCUUAGACAAUGGGGGCAACCCUGAUCUAGCCAUGCCGCGUGAGUGAUGAAGGCCUUAGGGUUGUAAAGCUCUUUCAGCUGGGAAGAUAAUGACGGUACCAGCAGAAGAAGCCCCGGCUAACUCCGUG
This 432-nucleotide ribosomal RNA is filed under the name uncultured bacterium. Its description in RNAcentral is "partial 16S ribosomal RNA". It matches the Rfam family "Bacterial small subunit ribosomal RNA", at positions 29 to 507 of the family's 1533-position model. The record is from RNAcentral.